RNAcentral lists this ribosomal RNA (1508 nucleotides) under Helicobacter cetorum MIT 00-7128. Its description in RNAcentral is "bacterial SSU rRNA". It matches the Rfam family "Bacterial small subunit ribosomal RNA". Lineage: Bacteria; Pseudomonadati; Campylobacterota; Epsilonproteobacteria; Campylobacterales; Helicobacteraceae. The record is from RNAcentral.
UUUUUAUGGAGAGUUUGAUCCUGGCUCAGAGUGAACGCUGGCGGCGUGCCUAAUACAUGCAAGUCGAACGAUGAAGCUUCUAGCUUGCUAGAAGUGGAUUAGUGGCGCACGGGUGAGUAACGCAUAGGUUAUGUGCCUCUUAGUUUGGGAUAGCCAUUGGAAACGAUGAUUAAUACCAGAUACUCCCUACGGGGGAAAGAUUUAUCGCUAAGAGAUCAGCCUAUGUCCUAUCAGCUUGUUGGUAAGGUAAUGGCUUACCAAGGCUAUGACGGGUAUCCGGCCUGAGAGGGUGAACGGACACACUGGAACUGAGACACGGUCCAGACUCCUACGGGAGGCAGCAGUAGGGAAUAUUGCUCAAUGGGCGCAAGCCUGAAGCAGCAACGCCGCGUGGAGGAUGAAGGUUUUAGGAUUGUAAACUCCUUUUGUUAGAGAAGAUAAUGACGGUAUCUAACGAAUAAGCACCGGCUAACUCCGUGCCAGCAGCCGCGGUAAUACGGAGGGUGCAAGCGUUACUCGGAAUCACUGGGCGUAAAGAGCGCGUAGGCGGGAUAGUAAGUCAGAUGUGAAAUCCUAUGGCUUAACCAUAGAACUGCAUUUGAAACUGCUAUCCUAGAGUGUGGGAGAGGUAGGUGGAAUUCUUGGUGUAGGGGUAAAAUCCGUAGAGAUCAAGAGGAAUACUCAUUGCGAAGGCGACCUGCUGGAACAUAACUGACGCUGAUUGCGCGAAAGCGUGGGGAGCAAACAGGAUUAGAUACCCUGGUAGUCCACGCCCUAAACGAUGGAUGCUAGUUGUUGGGGAGCUUAGUCUCUCCAGUAAUGCAGCUAACGCAUUAAGCAUCCCGCCUGGGGAGUACGGUCGCAAGAUUAAAACUCAAAGGAAUAGACGGGGACCCGCACAAGCGGUGGAGCAUGUGGUUUAAUUCGAAGAUACACGAAGAACCUUACCUAGGCUUGACAUUGAGAGAAUCCGCUAGAAAUAGUGGAGUGUCUAGCUUGCUAGACCCUGAAAACAGGUGCUGCACGGCUGUCGUCAGCUCGUGUCGUGAGAUGUUGGGUUAAGUCCCGCAACGAGCGCAACCCCCUUUCUUAGUUGCUAACAGGUUAUGCUGAGAACUCUAAGGAUACUGCCUCCGUAAGGAGGAGGAAGGUGGGGACGACGUCAAGUCAUCAUGGCCCUUACGCCUAGGGCUACACACGUGCUACAAUGGGGUGUACAAAGAGAAGCAAUACUGCGAAGUGGAGCAAAUCUCAAAAACAUCUCUCAGUUCGGAUUGCAGGCUGCAACUCGCCUGCAUGAAGCUGGAAUCGCUAGUAAUCGUGAAUCAGCCAUGUCACGGUGAAUACGUUCCCGGGUCUUGUACUCACCGCCCGUCACACCAUGGGAGUUGUGUUUGCCUUAAGUCAGGAUGCUAAACUAGCUACUGCCCACGGCACACACAGCGACUGGGGUGAAGUCGUAACAAGGUAACCGUAGGUGAACCUGCGGUUGGAUCACCUCCUUUCUA